RNAcentral lists this ribosomal RNA (460 nucleotides) under uncultured bacterium. RNAcentral's name for it is "partial 16S ribosomal RNA". It matches the Rfam family "Bacterial small subunit ribosomal RNA", at positions 338 to 795 of the family's 1533-position model. The record is from RNAcentral.
CCUACGGGAGACAGCAGUGAGGAAUAUUGGUCAAUGGUCGGGAGACUGAACCAGCCAAGCCGCGUGAGGGAUGAAGGUACAGAGUAUCGUAAACCUCUUUUGUCAGGGAAUAAAGGCAGGGACGUGUCCACGGAUGCAUGUACCUGAAGAAUAAGCAUCGGCUAACUCCGUGCCAGCAGCCGCGGUAAUACGGAGGAUGCGAGCGUUAUCCGGAUUUACUGGGUGUAAAGGGGGCGCAGACUGCAAUGCAAGUCAGGAGUGAAAGCCCGGGGCCCAACCCUGGGACUGCUGUUGAAACUGCAUGGCUUGAGUACAGUAGGGGCAGGCGGAAUUCCUAGUGUAGCGGUGAAAUGCGUAGAUAUUAGGAGGAACACCGAUUGCGAAGGCGGCCUGCUGGGCUAUAACUGACGUUGAGGCCCGAAGGCGUGGGGAGCAAACAGGAUUAGAUACCCGAGUAGUC